This 322-nucleotide ribosomal RNA is filed under the name uncultured eukaryote. Its description in RNAcentral is "partial 18S ribosomal RNA". It matches the Rfam family "Eukaryotic small subunit ribosomal RNA", at positions 1470 to 1796 of the family's 1831-position model. The record is from RNAcentral.
CCCUUAGAUGUCCUGGGCCGCACGCGUGCUACACUGAGUAAUUCAAUGGGUAAGGGAACGCUAGAGCAUUACCUAAUCUUGAAAUUUGCUCGUGAUGGGGAUCGACGGUUGCAAUUUUCCGUCGUGAACGAGGAAUACCUUGUAGGCGCAUGUCAUCAUCAUGCGCCGAAUACGUCCCUGCCCUUUGUACACACCGCCCGUCGCUCCUACCGAUUGAGUGAUCCGGUGAGGCUCUGGGACCUGGACGGAAAGAGCGUUUCGCUUGUUCUGUUUGGGAAACUUGGUCGAACCUUAUCAUUUAGAGGAAGGAGAAGUCGUAACA